UGGGACGGGGGAGGAUGUAAUGAUUUUGUGUUUUGUUUUAAUGAGCUGAAGUAAAAUAAACUCUAGCUUAAUGGAUAUUUGAUAGAGUUAUUCAAACUUGUAAUGCCUGAGCGUAAGAUAGAAGUCACUAACACUCUAAUAAUAAUUUAAAUCAUCUGUUGAAUUCAAUCCAUGGUUGCAGAUUUGGUUUCACCAGGAAGUAUUUGAAGGCAUGUUUGAGCCAUGUGCUCUCUUUGACAACACGAGAUGAUGGACAAAUUAUGGACUAAAUGAAAUGUACAGGCUGUGAGAAAGAGAGGAUUGUUACUUUCUUCAAGGUGGCCAGACUUGACACAGAACUUAAAUAUAGUUAGAUAAGAAGUGGAAGUUGAAUCCUUGAGGUGGUCGUAGUGCAACUAAACGGAUGCAGAUUGUCGUAAAACCCCUAAAAGAGAAGAAGUCUGCUCCCUGGACUGGCCGGUGACUCCCCUGUAAUGCAACCGCAGAACAACUGGAACCAAACCUCCCCACUGCAUGUUCUGCAAGAAGAGUUCAGCAGAACAAACUUGAGCGUGCGUGGCCUACAUUGUGCCGUCGCAUCCAGUCCAUCCUCCGCCACGGCCGCCAUGUUGAACUCCAGAUGAACCUGCCGGUUUCUGUGGGAGAAGAUCUGUGCAUGCGAUUGGCCGAAGCCAGCACUCCAUAUUUGGAGAUUACUGAAGCCAAGUUUGGGCUGCGACCGCUGCCCCCCUCGUGUGAGAAGAACCUAAUCGCUCCACAGGCUUUUUAAUUAUCUCAUCAUAUGUGUGUCGCUGCCACAGCCCGGGAGAUGAAGGGGCCAGAAAACACGGGAUGGACUGGUUUUACCUUUCUUUACUGUAAACACUGUUUAAUAAUGCACUGUGAGACAUUCCACUGGACUCUAGCUACAGCAUCAUAAAUAAUAAAUUGACCACUUUUUUUAAAAAAAGGUGAUAUGGCACGGUAAAAUUCAAAUUUAAAUGACGUUUUAAAAAAAUAAACACAUUAUGUGAUGAAUUUCAUCAUUGCAGUAUAAUUGUGGUGUAUGGAGAUGCUAUAAAUGGUACAAUUAUUUUCAUAAAGUAUUGUAAGAUUUAUUUUU
Molecule: long non-coding RNA, 1102 nt
Organism: Notolabrus celidotus (New Zealand spotty)
Lineage: Eukaryota; Metazoa; Chordata; Actinopteri; Labriformes; Labridae
Exons: 3
Source: RefSeq, a predicted model, not a curated record